CUUCUUUCUUUAUUAUAGAUCAACCUAGUUUCUCACCAACCUAAAACAAUACCACCUCUUCAGCAAGAGGGACGACGUGGGCUGUCAACUACAAGCUUGCCUCUGAUAGAGUGACAGAGACGAAAUGAGAACAUAUGCAUGCUAAUAAUUUUUGUCCUGUAAACAAAAGGACCAAACAGACACAGUCUGUGACCUUGGAGUGCACGUGUUCUAGAGGGAGGAGCCGGCCAGGCAGUCCAAACAGAUACUGAGGGCUUCCAAAGGCCAUGGCACGGUUCUCAGGGCUGAGCUGGCUUCGGCACAGCCUGAUCUAGUGUGGAUCCCGGGGACAAAGGGACAGAAUGGGAACUUAAGUUUUACUGGGCUGGACAGAUACAUUGGAGGUCCCGCGGUACUUUGCGUGCCCUCCCAAAUGCCACGCUGAGAUAUAAAACUGUGGCUGGCUUGUCUUCUACUCAAAGAGAGCGAACGGGGAGUGGGUCCCAAAGAAUCACAGGGUGGGGCGUGCACGGGCCUCUAAAAUGUUGUUCUGAAUGUUGAGUUUUAAAAGCUCUGGAGUUCAGGUACUGCUUUGUGGCCUCUCAUCAUGCUGGUCUUCACACCAUGCAAAUAAAACAGGCACGAGAUUUCCCCCAAAGUUAGCAAUCUCCUGUGAGUCAUUUCGCAGGAACUUGGUGGCAGCCACUUGGCUGAAAGCAGCUGUGAGGAGGAAUGUCCAGGCGGAGUGGCCGCAGCCACGGGUGUGGUUGUGAGUGUGGCUGGAGCCUGGAGACAGGCUGUGGGUGUGGUCACAAACAGGGGCGUGGCAGUGGGUGUGUCCGGGCCGGGGCAUGCUGUGGGCGUGGCUAUCGGGCUCAAGGGGUUAACCCCGGGAGACCCUGCUGGCUGGCCUCAUCUCAGGAACCGCAGGGACUUGAAAAACCGUGCUCUUGGUCCCCCAGAGCAGGGAUAUCAUGAUGCCAUGGCAGACACAGCCCAGCAGCCCACAUGGACCUUCCAACCUGGGGGGCAAGUAAGUGAAGGGAAUACUGCCUUGUGAUUUCAUUUACAGAAGAUGGGCCUGAAGGGAAAACCAGCUAUCUGUAAAUCUUAUGGGGCGUGGGGGGAGGGUGUUAGAAUUAACUGGAAGGAAGCCAGGAUGGAGAUAUUAGAUUAGCAUAUAAACACCAUAUAAGUCUAGCAAAUAGCUACAUAAUC
This 1197-nucleotide long non-coding RNA is filed under the name Felis catus (domestic cat). RNAcentral's name for it is "lncRNA (ENSFCAG00000053777.1)". Lineage: Eukaryota; Metazoa; Chordata; Mammalia; Carnivora; Felidae. The record is from RNAcentral.